GACGAACGCUGGCGGCGUGCUUAACACAUGCAAGUCGAACGGAAAGGCCCUGCUUUUGUGGGGUGCUCGAGUGGCGAACGGGUGAGUAACACGUGAGUAAACUGCCCUUGACUUUGGGAUAACUUCAGGAAACUGGGGCUAAUACCGGAUAGGAGCUACUGCUGCAUGGUGGGGGUUGGAAAGUUUCGGCGGUUGGGGAUGGACUGGCGGCUUAUCAGCUUGUUGGUGGGGUAGUGGCUUACCAAGGCUUUGACGGGUAGCCGGCCUGAGAGGGUGACCGGCCACAAUGGGACUGAGAGACGGCCCAGACUCCUACGGGAGGCAGCAGUGGGGAAUAUUGCACAAUGGGCGGAAGCCUGAUGCAGCAACGCCGCGUGCGGGAUGACGGCCUUCUGGUUGUAAACCGCUUUCGCCUGUGACGAAGCGUGAGUGACGGUAAUGGGUAAAGAAGCACCGGCUAACUACGUG
RNAcentral lists this ribosomal RNA (468 nucleotides) under uncultured bacterium. RNAcentral describes it as "partial 16S ribosomal RNA". It matches the Rfam family "Bacterial small subunit ribosomal RNA", at positions 28 to 507 of the family's 1533-position model. The record is from RNAcentral.